Rhincodon typus (whale shark) is the source of this 463-nucleotide long non-coding RNA. RefSeq lists it as uncharacterized. The transcript is spliced from 3 exons. Lineage: Eukaryota; Metazoa; Chordata; Chondrichthyes; Orectolobiformes; Rhincodontidae. The record is from RefSeq and is a predicted model, not a curated record.
UGAGGGUACCACUGAAGUGCUUCCUCUGUCCACAUGGAGCUCCCCUGCCGUUUCGAAGCUGGGAGUGGAGAACCUGCUCGGGGACCCUCGUGUCAGUCAUGCAGACAAUACUGACCUGGAUUGUUACCUGCGUCCAGGCUGACUGUGGUUGAACAUUGAAACAUACGAACAAGGAAGAAGAGCAGGCCACUCAUCCCUUCAAGUCUGCUCUGCUAUUCAAUGUGAGAGUCUUCAGAAAACAACAGAGAAUUAUUAAGUUUGGUAUAGCACCUUCUGACCUGCGGCUGGAAGUGUAUUAUCCAUUUUUAUCUGGUUCUUUAAAUGACCAUGCAAGAAAUAUCUUGUCCGGGAAUCAGCUGUUUCAGCUAAUUUUCUGGAGUGGAUAAAACAUUGGAUUAAACAGUGGCCUUAAAGUGACAGGCCAGAUUUCAACUUGAUGUCAUUAAAUAUCAAUGUUCAUGCA